Molecule: long non-coding RNA, 1408 nt
Filed under: Androctonus crassicauda
Lineage: Eukaryota; Metazoa; Arthropoda; Arachnida; Scorpiones; Buthidae
Source: RNAcentral
UGGUGGGGUGUUUAUGUCUGCUGCAAACAGUGCUGGUUUUUUACUGAAUUAUUAAAUUAAUGCUGCUACUGUUAUUUUGUUUAGCUUUAUCAAUGAUCCUUUUAAAGUUUUUAAAUAUUAAGUAUUAUAUGCUAGAAUACUUUCUGUAAGUUUAUAUUACAUAAUACAGUACUGAACUAUUUUAUUUUUUAUGAACACUGUAUUUGGUGCAGUUUGAUCCAGAUAGUCUAUGUAUUGCUAAACAAAAAGCACAAACUUGAUCUACAAUAAUUAUAUGGGUGGCAUCAAUCAAUAUUAUUGGCUCUUAGAGAAGCAUCACAUAGGGACAUGUGGGAAAAAAUCAUACUAGUACUUUAUCAGAGAUAUAGAUGUGGUGGUUAAUGUAUAUGUUUAUGUAAAAUGGCAGACGAAAAAUCUUUAACAAUCUUGGAAUUCAGAAGACAUAUAGCUAGGAACUAUUUGAACCUUAGAAUUGAGGAAAAAUUACCAAGAGAAUAAUCAUCAGUAGCACUUCUGCCAAGGUCUGUAAUGUUAAGAACAAGAUUUGAUGAAAUUAGACAUUUUAUCAUGAAAAGAGCAAGGCAAAGAAGAUGCCAAAAUCAGGAGUGCAAAGAUAAACUCUGGAUCUAUUGUGGAAAGUAUAAUUUAUUAAUCUGUCCAUUGUCCUCAAAUGAGGACACCUUUUUUUUCCAGUUGAAAAAAAAAUUGAAAACAUAUUGUUAUAUCUCUCUCUCCUCGGUUCCAAGGGAACCGAGGAGAGAAAGGUUUGUUAUAUCUAGCUUUGAUUGAUACCUAAAAGUAAGAAAAUAACAUUUUUACAUAAAAAAUUGGCAUCAAGUAACUUGGGUACUAAUGGGUUAAAGGAAAAUAAUUAUUUUUAAUCUGCAUUAUUUUUUCUAUUAAUGUUAUGUUGUUGUAUUAAUUAAUGUUAAUUUGAAAGAAUUGUUGGCAUUUUUAUUAUAUUUAAAUUUUUAUUCAGCCCAUUAUUCCAGUCUAAAUGUAAAGCAUUUUUCAUUUUAUCAAGUUCAGGUUGCAAGUUUUUCACUUUAGAUAAGUAACAGUUAAUAUAUCAUCAUGUGUAACCACUUUUGUACAGUUAAGAUUGUUCCACCAGUGCGGAACUGCGACGGAAAAUACAUCUGACAAAAGCAGUGCGGUUUUGAUGUCAAUCUGUGGCGUAAAAACGGCUACUGUCCAGAGUCUAGCUGAGGUGAGUUCGGAACAUAGAAGUAGUAUAUCUAGAGUGCACAUCUCCCAGUCGCCUGAAUGGAAGCAGUUGAGGAAACCGACCGCCAUAUUGGAUAAGAAUAGCGGGGCAGCAAUAUAUAUACAUUUUCCAUUUUUUUCUUUAAGAAAUGGUCGAAUUAUCACUAUUUUGAUCGAACAUGGAAAAAUUAGUCGAAUGGAG